AUACGGAGGAUCCGAGCGUUAUCCGGAUUUAUUGGGUUUAAAGGGUGCGCAGGCGGCCAUUUAAGUCAGCGGUUAAAUCGUGGGGCUCAACCCCAUUCUGCCGUUGAUACUGGGUGGCUUGAUUGCGGUCGAGGUUGGCGGAAUUCGUUGUGUAGCGGUGAAAUGCAUAGAUAUGACGAAGAACACCGACUGCGUAGGCAGCUGACCAGACCGCAAAUGACGCUCAUGCACGAAAGUGCGGGGAUCGAACAGGAUUAGAUACCCUUGUAGUCCGCACAGUAAACGAUGAAUACUUGUUUUCGGCGAUAUAAUGUCGGAGGCAAAGCGAAAGCGAUAAGUAUUCCACCUGGGGAGUACGCCGGCAACGGUGAAACUCAAAGGAAUUGACGGGG
This 392-nucleotide ribosomal RNA is filed under the name uncultured bacterium. RNAcentral's name for it is "partial 16S ribosomal RNA". It matches the Rfam family "Bacterial small subunit ribosomal RNA", at positions 523 to 918 of the family's 1533-position model. The record is from RNAcentral.